Molecule: long non-coding RNA, 591 nt
Organism: Manihot esculenta (cassava)
Lineage: Eukaryota; Viridiplantae; Streptophyta; Magnoliopsida; Malpighiales; Euphorbiaceae
Exons: 3
Source: RefSeq, a predicted model, not a curated record
CUCUCUCUCUCUCUCUCUCUCGAUCUCUCGAUCUGUCGAAACGAAAAGAAGAUGGAAGAAGUAAAAGCCCGCGAAACUGCUGUUGCCAUUACCUGCAACGAGCCGACGAGCUGCAAAAACACGAUCCCUUAGUCGCUUACUAUGGUCGAUUAUAUGCAAUGGAGAAAGGGUUCAAGAGUCCAAAGAAUGAGCGCACCAAGAACUCCAAUGCUCUUCUUAUUUCCCUCAUGAUUCAACUUGAAAAGGAUAAAAAGUCAUUGAAGUUGGGCCCAGAAGACAACUUGCAUCUGGAGGGAUUUGCACUAAAUGUAUUUGGGAAGGCAGACAAGCAAGAUCGCGAUGGUUGAGCAGAACAUUUUUCUUCAUGUUUUGCCUUAUUAUUGUGGAAUGAUACCUAUUCUAAUUCAAGGCCCUUAGUUGAUUCUUUUUUUGGUUUAUCAUAGAGACUACGGAUCUAGGUGGCAUAUUCUCUCAUGGAACUUAUCUUUGAGAUUCCCUAUCUGUUUCCCACCUCAUAAUAUAUUUUGACUCAUUCUCUUGAGUGGAAUCUGGUUUCAAAUCCAAUGUUAGAGAAGUAGCUAUAUUCCUAGA